GUGAAGUCUGCGCCCAGGACCUGCAGAGGUGAGAGGUGCCACCCUAAGGACCAAAUCCCCAGAAGCCAGGUGAGGACAUCGGAGAACCGGGCUGCUCCGUAGCAGACCCAUAGACCCUGAUGCAUGGCUGGGCACCCUGGCCUGUCCCAGAGCCUGCAGAAGGGCGGAAGCCUAGACAAACUCAUCCGCUUCUGCUGUCCCAAGAUGACUUUCAGCCCAGGUCAGCCCAGUGUUCAGGUAGCCACAACUUGACCAUGGGGACCCCUUGAACUGGCACGACCUCCCGUCCGCACCCAAGUCCCCACCAGCCUGUCCCUCUGAUGGUUCUGGGCUGGGUGUGGCAGGGAAAGGGCAGAAGUGAGACUUUGACCUGGUGGGUGCACACGCCUAGGUGUAAAUCUAGCUCCAACAUCUUACAUGAGAAUGAAUUGAAUUCAGAUUCUUUAAUGGCUCACCCUGGAGUUUUAUCCCUCCUGGUAAUAAU
RNAcentral lists this long non-coding RNA (484 nucleotides) under Homo sapiens (human). RNAcentral's name for it is "HSALNT0274631". The record is from RNAcentral. Lineage: Eukaryota; Metazoa; Chordata; Mammalia; Primates; Hominidae.